This 264-nucleotide ribosomal RNA is filed under the name uncultured bacterium. RNAcentral describes it as "partial 16S ribosomal RNA". It matches the Rfam family "Bacterial small subunit ribosomal RNA", at positions 793 to 1055 of the family's 1533-position model. The record is from RNAcentral.
GUCCACGCCGUAAACGAUGGAUGCUAGUUGUCAGUAAGUAUACUUAUUGGUGACGCAGCUAACGCCUUAAGCAUCCCGCCUGGGGAGUACGGCCGCAAGGUUAAAACUCAAAGAAAUUGACGGGGGCCCGCACAAGCGGUGGAGCAUGUGGUUUAAUUCGAAGCAACGCGCAGAACCUUACCCACGUUUGACAUGUCGAGGUAUUGGACCAGAGAUGGACCAAGCUCUUCGGAGCCUCGAACACAGGUGCUGCAUGGCUGUCGU